Arachis ipaensis is the source of this 2532-nucleotide long non-coding RNA. RefSeq lists it as uncharacterized. The record is from RefSeq and is a predicted model, not a curated record. NCBI's taxonomy places the organism in Eukaryota, Viridiplantae, Streptophyta, Magnoliopsida, Fabales, Fabaceae.
AAUCAGAAACCCUAAUUUCCAAAUUAAUUAAGAAACCCUAACCCUCCCCCACUCUCCUUAGCAGCAGCCGUUGGCCACACUUCCUUCCCCUAACAGUCAUACAACACCCACGUAGCUGAGAAAGAAAGGCAGAAAUGGAAAGGGAGAAGAGAUAGAGCUUGGAAUCAGAGAAGUAGAGGGAGCCGCACUCUGCACUGUCCAGCUCGCCGCCACCGCCGCGUCUCGCCUGCGCCGUCGCCUCUACUGAGUGGUUGCCGUCAUCACGCGAGAAAGGAGAAGGAGCUCCCAAGGGGUCGUUGAGCCGCUACGGUCACCGUCGUCUCGGCUGUUCCCACCGCCGUUGGAUCCGUCACGCGCGUCGUCGUCCGAGGAGCCACCGUCGUCCUUGCUCGUCGUCUCCCUUAGAGCCGUCGCCGUCGAGGGCCAGUAGAGAGAGAAACGCGAGAGUCAGGGUCGCCACCGAGAAGAGAAGGAGCUGUGUUCCACGCCACCGUCGCCACCGAUCCACAGCCACCACCGCGAGGGUUCUGUCGUCGUCGUUCCAGUGCCAUCGUUUAUGCCGUUCGUCGCCACCACCUUACCAGAGUCUCUGCCGCCGUGGAUACUACCAUUGGAGUCGCUAGGAACCAAUUUCUGGAGAUGCUCUUGAUGAUUCUGAUGCUGCUACGUAGGUUCCGAGCUACUGUGUUGUUGCCAGAGGAAGGGAACUCAUAGGAAAAACGUCACCGAGGCUGCUGCUUGGUUUGAUUGCGUCGUUAAUGCGACAUUGAGGUAGGGGAUUUAUUUUAAAAUUAACAGUUUUAACUUAUGAAUGCCAAUGAGGUUUAGUGAGUAAUUGCAAAUGAUUCAUAAAUAUGAUUAAUUGAUAGGAAUAAGCUUGGUUUGAGGUUGUGAAAUUUGGAUUAAGUUUGAUAUUGAGAUGAUAUUCUAGUGAUUUAAUUAGUUUAAUGAGUUUAGAUUAUGGCUGUGAAUGUUACUGGGUUUUGUUAUUAUGAGUAAUUAAUUUGACAAGAUUAAUUUUGGUUAAUGCUGUGACUGAUAUUGGUUUUCUGAUUUUGAUGACUUUGUUGAAAAAUUCUGAUUUUAUAUGAUAUUGCUGAAUUGGUUGAAAUGUGGUUGUGAAUGGUGAUCCAUUUGAAAAUACUUGUUAAAUUGAAAUUUGAUAAGUUAACUAUUGAAAAGUUGUCGUAUUGAUAAUUGAUGAAUUGAGUUGGAUUUGUGUUUGGUUUGGGAUCAUUGUGAUAAUGGUUUGAGUUGUGGCUGUAUUUUGAAUAUUGAGACUAAGCAUUUGCUGUUGAUUUUAGUAAUCUGAUAUGUUGGAAUGGCUGUGAAAUUGACUUGCGACUGGUUGGAAUUGGUUUUGAUGCUUGUUAAUGUUGAUUCGUGAUUAAUUAGAAUUAAGUUUGAGAAUUGUUGAAAGAUUGAAGCUUAAUUAUUAAAUUUAUCUUAUGAAAUCUGAAUCUAAAGAUAAAAACAGUAACUCUAAAAAGUAUAAGGAUAACUUGUGAUAAUUGGAUAUGGAGUUGAAAUUUUUUUGGAAAACAUAGCAGUUGGUUGUAAGAGAACUUGGCUUUUGUGAAUAAUACAUACUUUGGGUGUUUUGGUGUCAAUAUUGCUAAGAUUUUGGUUAAGUUAGGUGAUAAUAUGUUUUGGGAAUUUGAAAAGUGAAAAAAUGUUAGUCCUUUGGUUAAAAUAAUUGAUGAAUUGAUAAAAUGGAAGUUAUUGAUGGAUUAUGUGGAAAUUUGCUAUGAAUUGGUAAGAAUGGAAUUGGAUUAAUGGAUUAUGUGGGAAUCGCAGAGUAUAAUUGAAAUACUAUUUAUCAUGAGUUGUGAAUUUCUGAUUGAUUGAGAAUCUUCUAUUUGAUAAUUGUUGAGAAAGGAUUGUUGAAUUGUUAAGAAAAAGGGAACCCGUAAGGGUGGUUAAGUCCGAGUUUUAGGGGAGGUGCUGCCGAAAUUUUAUAAAAUAUCUGAGGUUUCAUUUGAAAAGUUAUUUUAGAAGCUUUGAAUUUGGAAAAUUAUAUUACUUGAGUUUUAUUUAGUUAAGAAAAGAAUUAUAAUAUUUUGAGUUUGAUUUACCAAGGAAAGGUCUAUGUUUCGAAUUUGAGUUAUUUAAAAAGAAAUUAUGUUUUGAGUUUGAUUCAAUAUAGAAAAAAGUUAUGAUUUGGGCUUAAAGUAAAGGAUUACCUUUUAGAGAUUUGUGAAUUUAUAUUAUAACAUUUGAGUUGGAAUAUUAAAGAGAAAGAUGAUUUUCUUGAGUUUUUUGAUAGAGAAUUAAACUGGAAAACAAUUUUAAAGUUGGUUCGAGUUAAGAUUUGCUAAAGUAGAAAUUAUGAAAUGAUUUGAUGAUUAAGAUUUUUAUAGACAAAUGCCUGAGGAAUUAAGAAAGGUUUAAGGAAAAUUAUUAAGAAUUUAAAGGGGAAAAGAGAAUGGGGAACUGAUAUAUGGAUUGUUGAGUUUUAGAAAGGAAAAUGAAAAGUGAUAAAAGGCGGGAAAACCCCACGAACUGCUAGUUGUUUAACUACGGGAAAAAAAC